This is a non-coding RNA of Manis javanica (Malayan pangolin), 1601 nucleotides long. Lineage: Eukaryota; Metazoa; Chordata; Mammalia; Pholidota; Manidae. The record is from RefSeq and is a predicted model, not a curated record.
UUUUGAUUGGCUACGUAAGUAAUCUAUCAGGAUUACGCAAGCGAGGGGUGGUUCUUUGGGGAGGAAGUGAAGAUUAUUUUGGUGCCUCCUGUCCCAACUACGAUUGGUUGAGAUUUACCGUGAUGUAAAACGAGGCGUAAAAAUGUCCACUAAAGGAAAGGGCCUAUUGGCCCUUUUCUGAGGGACGAAGUCUAGGGUGGAACUGGGAGGGCCCAGCCGGACUCUGUUAUUGUAAGGAAGGACCAGAUUAACUGAGACCCGGAAAUGAGUUUAGAAGGGAAUUGAAGGAAAAAGAGGGAAAUCCGCGGCACCUUCGUUGCCCUCAAACAAGGUCAUUUCCUGCAUGGGAUCGAUAAUUUCCUGUUUACAGCGAAGUCAGUGUGUCCUGGCUCUCCGGAUUACACGUGGUAGUUCGAUUCUUAUGAGCCUUUGGUCCUAGAUUUACGUGGUGGUGCGUUGUCUAGGGGGUUUAUAGGCAGUUGAGAGACCAAGUUAGGGAUGUGGAUCCACCAGAUGGUCUCUAAGUGUUUAUUUUUAAAGAGACACUAAGUUUCUUAUCAGUUUUCUAGACUAUUUUGUGGAGUUAACAUAAGAAAUUUAUUGUUUUGAUCCUUUCUCAGAGUAGCAGUUUCUCGGUUUGGGAGCACAUCAGUCAAGGCUGCUUGUUUUGCCUACAAGUUUUGGUAGGGGUCUUUUUCCAGAGGCCCUCACCCUACUCUGACUACACCCACGGUCCCUGUCUCACUUGGAUCACAGUAUCGAAAUGAGCUCCUAAAGAAACCAUUCAUAUUUGGAGAGGGUGGGUGGAGGUGAAGAGAACUGUGAAGACUUAUCAAGUUAAUGACGUACAGAAACUGGCCAAAGCAGAAAUUGUCUCUGAGGGGACCUGGAACCCAGAACUAAGGAAGAAAACACUUAUUGUUCCUAAUCACAGAUCCAUGCCCUCCAGCAUGUCAAGAGAAACCAGUGGCAUCUUGAUUGGUGAGAACAUGAGAAGCUCUGUCCGAUAGAAUCUUGAGCCUAAGGAAAAUCUUCACCCUCCGAGGGCCUAACUGCCCCCUCCUUCCAAAUCCCCCACUGUGAAACACAGUUAUCUGACACAGAUAUCUGGAGUUUCUUUCCUCUCUGGAGGCCCAAGGAACAGCUACAAGGCCUCAGAAGACCAAGAUGAAAGUACCGGGUUAUACCACGUUUGGAAUUUACGGAAAGAGAAGAAAAGAGAAGACCGGGAUAUGGGGGAACUGGUAGAGGCACAGAAGGGACACUGACUGUUGCUCAGUCAUGUAUUCUAUCGGACUGGGUUGAUUGCAGUAACAGAAACUAUUUUAAGCAGAAAAGACCUGAAUACAGGGACACAGGUGCUUACAAAAUUGUCCCAAGAAUGAACUAUUAAACUCACUCACCAUAGAAGCUCCAGAAAGGGGAAGAAUCAAGACUGUAUCACUGAACUGAAAGACUAAACAACAAAUGCUGGCGAGGAUGCGGAGAAAGGGGAACCCUCCUACACUGCUGGUGGGAAUGUAAGCUAGUUCAACCAUUGUGGAAAGCAGUAUGGAGGCUCCUCAAAAAACUACAAAUAGAAAUACCAUUUGACCUGGGAA